RNAcentral lists this ribosomal RNA (433 nucleotides) under uncultured bacterium. RNAcentral's name for it is "partial 16S ribosomal RNA". It matches the Rfam family "Bacterial small subunit ribosomal RNA", at positions 29 to 507 of the family's 1533-position model. The record is from RNAcentral.
AACGAACGCUGGCGGCAUGCCUAACACAUGCAAGUCGAACGAAACCGUCGUGCCUUGGGGCGCACGGGGGCGUAACGCGGGGGAACCUGCCCGUAGGUUCCGAAUAACUCCCCUAAAGGGGUGCUAAUACAGGUGAAGGUCUUCGGACCUACGAUUUAUCGCGGUUGGCUGGGCCCGGGUUGGCUUAGCUAGUUGGUAGGGUAAAAGCCUAUCAUGGCGACGUUCCAGAGCUGGUCGGGGAGGAUGCCCCGCCACACUUGGACUGAGACCCGGCCUAGUCUGCUACGGGAGGCAGCAGUGGGGAAUACUGGGCGAUGAGCCAUAGCCUGAUCCAGCCAUGCCGCGUGAGUGGUGAAGGCCGUUGUAUUGCAAAGCUCUUUUACCCGAGGUGAUAAUGACAGUACCGGGAGAAUAAGCACCGGCUAACUACGUG